This 130-nucleotide microRNA precursor is filed under the name Mesocricetus auratus (golden hamster). Its description in RNAcentral is "miRNA (ENSMAUG00000002080.1)". Lineage: Eukaryota; Metazoa; Chordata; Mammalia; Rodentia; Cricetidae. The record is from RNAcentral.
GGUUUCUCUGUGUAGCUUUGGAGGCUGUCCUGGAACUUGCUCUGUAGACCAGGCUGGCUUUGAAAUCACAGAGAUCCGACUGCCUCUGCCUCCCGAGUGCUGGGAUUAAAGGCGUGCGCCACCACUGCCC